This 3227-nucleotide long non-coding RNA is filed under the name Mytilus galloprovincialis (Mediterranean mussel). The record is from RNAcentral. Lineage: Eukaryota; Metazoa; Mollusca; Bivalvia; Mytilida; Mytilidae.
GGUUAAUAAAUAAGUUGAUGAGGAACUCCAUCUCACGGUAUGUAACAGUAAAACAUAUAUUUUUGGUUGAUUGCCACAAGAUUUUUUUACCGUUAAAUGACAGAACAAUAGCGUGCUGUGUGUAACGUUUUUGACAUGCCUGAGUUAUUACGGAUGUUUUAGAAUAUACACGUGUAAGUAUAUUGUUGACAAUUCUACAGGUAGAUAUAGAUGUUUGACGCAAUUCAGGUAUGUUUAGAUUUCAGUUUAACUUUAACAUUUUUAACAUGUUUAAGAUACAUAUAUUUUGAUUAUUUGUAACAGGGUUAAAAAUUUCUAACGAACACAAAAAUAUAUAGUAACAUUACUGUUCUACAUCUGUAAUUGUACUUAAGUACUAAAAUAUGUAUGCUAUUUCAAGAAAAAAGGGUGUUCCCGUCAAGGUUUAGUUUUAAUAUGUCCUAAAAUAUAUUAUACCAUAAAAUUUGUAAUAUAUUAUCUUACUUUUAACCGGUUGUAGGCCGUGAGUUAUAAUUUGUUUGGUUAAAAAGGUCCCAAAAAUUAUGUCAUCUUUAUGAAUUACGUUUUACAUGUAUCAUAUGGUAUGAUUUAUUGCUCAAACUAUAUAUUAGCUGUUCAGUGUUCUCAUUUACAUUUCAAACUGUUAAAAUAAAUUGGCGUACAGAUUGGACUUGGGAUACAUCUUAACAUUCGAUUAUAACCCCUUUACUGUCAUAAUGAAAUCCUCUCACAGACAUAUUAAUGUCCGAACGAUUAAAAUUCUUAGGGAGAAUUACAACAUUUAAUGCGUUUUCUUUAUUACACUCUUACGAUGAAAUAUAAAUUACAUAUAACAUUUGUUCGAAAUACAAUUGAUUUUUUUUUUUAUUUAAUUACAUUGUAUUAUUAUAAAUUGCUUAAUAUCGCGUAACUUCUAUAUCGUAUCGAAAAGCCUAUACAAUAUCUUAUAAAAGAAGUUUUGUUUGAAGUCGUGCUACAGAAAGUUCCUAAACUCAAAACUCAAGACAAUAAUUUAUAUAUGCAUACAGAUAAAACACAGCGAUAAAGCUUUUAGAAUACGCAAUACCUAGUCAUGAUAAUUAUAAUCAUAUAAAUUUAAAUAAUUCGGGUUGGAUGCGUUGUCACGGAGAAAACAAACUCGCAACUUUUAACUGGAAGAUUACUAUCAAAAGAUCGGUUGUACUUAAGGCUUAAAGUUUGAUUACACUGAAACGGACUUAAAAUUUUGCAGAUAAAAGUAUAAAAUUCAUUUUGGACCACGUCAACAACAAGAUAAAACUAGACGACGCACCUGUUGUUUGUUGAUAGCUGAUUCCUGUUAGUAAAUAUUUAAUGGAAUAAAGGCAUUUUAUCAUUGAAUCAAUCGUGAGUAAACAUUUUUAUUCAAUUUUCCAUCUAAUCGUUCUUAUAUAUAAUACAUGUAUAUUAUGUCAUUAUCAAAUAUCUUAUUUUGCUUAUGUUUCCACCAGGUAUGUUCGAUCUCUUUAUGGGAUGCACUUUUAAACCUGUCUAGGUUCAUAUUAUAAAGAAUGGAUUUAAAAUUGUUCAUGUGUGAAUAUUUUAUACAUCAUUUAAGCAAGAAUAAUAAUUGAAAUAUAUUAUUACGCUAGCGCAUCAAAUAUCCUGACUUGAUCAAUAAGUGUUAUUUUAUAUUUUACAUAGGUUGCAUAUGGAGAAGAUAGAUUCUGGAUUAGAAUUUGACAUGCUUAUUACGUGAGUAAAUUUACAAAGACAAAUUCUCAUUGUAUAAUUUAUCAUUAGAUGUUGACGUUUACUACAUGUAUAUAAAUACAGGUAGAGUUUUUGUUACAUUUUUUUACAACACACUAUUUGUAUAUAGAGUGCUUGCUACAUAUGCAUUAAAUGUAAACUUAUCAGAGUUUAAAAAGUUUUUCUAUACACUUGACUAGACAUUUCACUAUAAAGAGCAACAAUUAAUGCAUAACUUUUCGAUGUAUAUGCAUCCCCUAUUUCAUUACUUUUGGCAUUUCGUUUUUCUCUUACAUUUAUUCAUUCGUAUUACAACGAGUUAACUGCAGCUGCUCAAAUAUUUAUUUCAACGCGGAAAAGGUAAUUAAAUUUUAUACCAAUUAUCAAAAAUAGGAUAUUAUAAUAUUCCUGUACCUAAAUAGGUUGUUGAUUUAGUAUGUCUUGACAUUGGACAUGUAACCUGUGACAAAUAGAUGUAAUAGUCCCAUGUGCUACUUUAUAAAUUAAUACAUUGGCAUUUUGUUAUCUAUUUAUAUCUUUACUGAUUAUAUGUACAGAUCUAAGAGACAAGAGCAAGGAAACACUUAUAUGAUUAAUAGAAAGGAAGGAAAACAAUAGAGAUAAUGACAAAAAUGUCAAUGAAGCGACAAACAAAGCGACAAAAUAAAUGUGAAAAACGAGUCGAAACCGAAAAUAAUUAAAUAAAUGAAAUCGAAUUUAUUAUAACGGGUUGACUGCUGCACAAAAUGUAAUUUCUAUCGGGAAAUAUUUAUACACUGACAACAUCAAGAACUUCUCUGAGAUUAAGCUUCAGAACCCCUAUCGCAGCAAUGCGUUUUGUUAGCAUUAAUCGGUUAACUUUUCGGAGUUUGAACAAGCAUAUCAAAGUGAGGAAAAAAAAAACCCGAGGGAAUUCAAAUGGAGCGAGACUGGGUGCAUCGACAGAAUAAACCGCAUAGGAAGGGCGACAACCGUGUUUUCAUAUUCAUUCAGAAGAAAAAGACUGUUUAAUAAAAUUUCUAACCGUUUUCCCUUUUAGUAUUUUUAGGAAAUAAGAUAGGUUUAAACUAAGCAAUGAACAAAAUAAGACACUUUAAUUCAAUACUACAUGUAUGCUACAUUUUUAUUCAUUCUCUUUUUAGGUAAAAUGGAUUAUGUUAAAUCAGCACUACAGAUAAUUCUGCUUGGUUUUUUCUUCUUUGUCUUAGCGUGGAUUUGUGUAUACGCAGACAAGUUGUUACUGGUAUUUCAGAGUUUUUAGUAUAGCUAUUUUGGUGGACCAAGAUUGUUCUAAAACAAGUUUUUUAGCAAUGUAAACAUUACAAUACACACAUCAAUAUGCAUAUGGAUAUCUCACUGAAUUGAUGCAGUCCACCAUUUUAGAAUCUUUCUAGCUUUUGGAUACGUGUGCAUGGACAGAUUGAAGUUUAACAUUCAAUUUGACUUAUUUUAUCUAAACUAAUAUCAUAUUUUUAAUUUAAUAUGUAUGAAAUGAAUGAAAACAUAGUUUAUUAAAU